This 66-nucleotide transfer RNA is filed under the name Ptychoptera minuta. Its description in RNAcentral is "tRNA-Thr". It matches the Rfam family "tRNA". From Rfam's summary of the family: Transfer RNA (tRNA) molecules are approximately 80 nucleotides in length. Their secondary structure includes four short double-helical elements and three loops (D, anti-codon, and T loops). Lineage: Eukaryota; Metazoa; Arthropoda; Insecta; Diptera; Ptychopteridae. The record is from RNAcentral.
GUUUUAAUAGUUUAACAAAAACAUUGGUCUUGUAAAUCAAAAUUAAGAAAUUAUUCUUUUAAAACU